Long non-coding RNA from Brassica napus (rape), 1038 nucleotides. RefSeq lists it as uncharacterized. The record is from RefSeq and is a predicted model, not a curated record. Lineage: Eukaryota; Viridiplantae; Streptophyta; Magnoliopsida; Brassicales; Brassicaceae. The transcript is spliced from 2 exons.
AAACACAUUUUUAAGACAAAAAAAAGUUUAAAUAGUUUAGGGUUUUUGCACUAGACGACUACGUUACCUUAUUUAAUUAGGUGAAUGGCUAUGGUACUGUAUAUUUUUCAUAAAUACACUUUUACCCUUAUUAUAUCUACUAGUCAGACGCAGAGAUAGACUUGACACCGCUCCUUUAUUUAUCUUGCUUCUGAAUUAAUAUUAAAUUUAAACCACUAUUUGCCUUUAGAUUCUUCAAUAAUUCCCCGUUCGAUACCAAAUCUCCAACACCACAAUCCUUCUCUCUGUUCCAUCACCUCCCACAAAAAUCCUGAUUUGAAAAUCCUAGAUAAUAAUCAUGGCUAUGGACAAGGACAACAACUAUGCUAGCAACGUCGCUGUCACCGCCAAUCAAGAUUAACGAAGCGGUUGCCGAAGGAUCUCUAAACCGGUGUCGUCUCAGAAUCCGUAAGUGGAAGCGAGAAAGGAGAGGAAGGUGCGGAGACGGCAGUGGCGGUGGAUGAUGAGAGCGGAUCAAAUUUGGUUAUAAAGCUAUCUACCCGAUCUUCCUCUGCUCGAGCUCCCUUCAACAAUCUGAGUCUAAUCAAUUCUGAUCUUGUUGUCGCUCGCACGCUCCAAGAACAUGCAUGCCUCUUUCUUUUUCGACAUCUCUUUGUUUCAGAUUUUUUCUGAGUUUCUACGUUUGUAUCCAACUGAAUCGCUGAUUCGGCGCCGACGGCUCUAGCAAGUAGCAGACAUCAAUCAUCAGCUACAAGAAACACUUCUCUUGGAUUUUCCCCAACCCCUUUCUUCAGGUGGAUUUGGUCGCAACAAUUUAUAUUGAAGAUAAAGAGUGAGCUUUUUCCUAUCUCCCUCUCUUAAUUUUUUUCUGUUAUGUAGCAUUUGGUUGAAUAUAAAUUGUGUUGCCACUAAUGACGUUAAUGUUCAUAGCAUUCACAUCACCAUGUUUGACGUUAAAGUGCUGUUGAGGACAGAAAUGUAAAAGUCAUGCCUUUCAUCACCAUGUUUGCCAAUUAAUAAAAAUAAUGCACACUUCUG